CACCGCCCGUCACAUCACGAAAGUGGGUUGUACUAGAAAGUCACCGCGCUAACCGCAAGGAGGCAGGUGCCCAAGGUAUGACUCAUGAUUGGGUG
Molecule: ribosomal RNA, 95 nt
Filed under: uncultured bacterium
Lineage: Bacteria
Description: partial 16S ribosomal RNA
Source: RNAcentral